This is a long non-coding RNA of Ostrea edulis (European flat oyster), 1096 nucleotides long. RefSeq lists it as uncharacterized. The record is from RefSeq and is a predicted model, not a curated record. Lineage: Eukaryota; Metazoa; Mollusca; Bivalvia; Ostreida; Ostreidae. The transcript is spliced from 2 exons.
GUCUACUCAGUCUUGAUAUACCAUAUGUUACAUAUGAUUAAUUUUUGUUUACUGUUUUUUUUUAUAACUAGAUGAGCAGAAGAUGCAUUCCAUGACUGACUCCCCAUAUGAUAUGAAAGAGAGCCCAUGAGAAUGGAACCAACUUUCAGUGUUACAAUGGAUGAACACUCCUCCUGUCACAAGUCCAUCUUGAUUCAGUAAAGUGGUAGUCUAUUUAUCUAGGAAGCAACGAGACGGAUCUGGACAAGGACCAUAUUGACUCAAGUUUUGGUGUCAGAAGACCAUUUUGAUUAAACAUGUUAAAAGCACCACAGAAGUAAGAAGCUAGGAUACCAGUUUUAUAAACUAAAGAGUCGAAAGGCCCAGCUGAAGAGAAAUUCCCAUUUCUCGACCAAGGACAAAAGAAAAGAUUAAAAAGGUGCUGACUAAGGAGGCAACGUCUCCAGAAGUAACGGAUGAUGAGGAAGCCACCCAGAGGAAGGUCUUACCAUUUAUAUGGGAGUCAUCCCUGCUGCGUAAUGUUAAGUGCGACCUGGACAGAGAGUAUGCUGAAUCUUUGCAACUUCAAUCAAAGAGACAAAAAGCCAAGGCCAUUAGAAGUAGAACAGAAAUGACUAUGGCCCCACCACCUAGGAGCAUUCAAGAGUGGGCCGUUUCCUCUACUUAUAAAUGAUGCUAUUACUGUUAAUAGUUAUAUUUAAUUUCCUCAUUUCUAGCUCACCUGAGUCAAAGGCUCAAGGUCACAAUUAAUACUUUUCUACCAUUAUAACCAGUUUUUAUGAAAUUUUAAUAAUGCUGUUGAAGGAGAAUUGCAAUUUUUUGGAUGUUUAUAAUUGACACUGUUUAAGUAUGUCUAGCAUCUUAAAAAGUGUGAUGACCUAUAUAUUUCAUUUGAUAAUUUAUUAAUUUUAACUUUAAUAAAUUGAAAUAAAUGCAUUUUUGAUACUUUUAUCAGAGAAUAUUGCAAGUAUGGAGUUACCUUGAUAUAUUUAUACAGAUUUGUUCUGCUUUAGUACUAGUGUAUCAGUAUUAUUACAUCAAGUUCAUUUGUGUGAAUAUUAUAAUAUUUAAGAAUGAAUAAAACUGUCAAAUUGUG